AGUGAACGCUGGCGGUAGGCCUAACACAUGCAAGUCGAACGGCAGCACAGUAAGAGCUUGCUCUUACGGGUGGCGAGUGGCGGACGGGCGAGGAAUACAUCGGAAUCUACUUUUUCGUGGGGGAUAACGUAGGGAAACUUACGCUAAUACCGCAUCCGACCUACGGGUGAAAGCAGGGGAUCUUCGGACCUUGCGCGAUUGAAUGAGCCGAUGUCGGAUUAGCUAGUUGGCGGGGUAAAGGCCCACCAAGGCGACGAUCCGUAGCUGGCCUGAGAGGAUGAUCAGCCACACUGGAACUGAGACACGGUCCAGACUCCUACGGGAGGCAGCAGUGGGGAAUAUUGGACAAUGGGCGCAAGCCUGAUCCAGCCAUACCGCGUGGGUGAAGAAGGCCUUCGGGUUGUAAAGCCCUUUUGUUGGGAAAGAAAAGCAGCAGGUUAAUACCCCGCUGUUCUGACGGUACCCAAAGAAUAAGCACCGGCUAACUUCGUG
RNAcentral lists this ribosomal RNA (492 nucleotides) under uncultured bacterium. Its description in RNAcentral is "partial 16S ribosomal RNA". It matches the Rfam family "Bacterial small subunit ribosomal RNA", at positions 29 to 507 of the family's 1533-position model. The record is from RNAcentral.